CCAAUAGCGUAUAUUAAAGUUGUUGUGGUUAAAAAGCUCGUAGUUGAACCUUGGGCCUGGCUGGCCGGUCCGCCUCACCGCGUGUACUGGUCCGGCCGGGCCUUUCCCUCUGUGGAACCCCAUGCCCUUCACUGGGCGUGGCGGGGAAACAGGACUUUUACUGUGAAAAAAUUAGAGUGCUCCAGGCAGGCCUAUGCUCGAAUACAUUAGCAUGGAAUAAUAGAAUAGGACGUGUGGUUCUAUUUUGUUGGUUUCUAGGACCGCCGUAAUGAUUAAUAGGGACAGUCGGGGGCAUCAGUAUUCAAUUGUCAGAGGUGAAAUUCUUGGAUUUAUUGAAGACUAACUACUGCGAAAGCAUUUGCCAAGGAUGUUUUCAUUAAUCAGGAACGAAAGUUAGGGGAUCGAAGACGAUCAGAUACCGUCGUGGUCUUAACCAUAAACUAUGCCGACUAGGGAUCGGACGGUGUUAUUUUUUGACCCGUUCGGCACCUUACG
RNAcentral lists this ribosomal RNA (495 nucleotides) under uncultured Glomeromycotina. Its description in RNAcentral is "partial small subunit ribosomal RNA". It matches the Rfam family "Eukaryotic small subunit ribosomal RNA", at positions 591 to 1092 of the family's 1831-position model. Lineage: Eukaryota; Fungi; Glomeromycota. The record is from RNAcentral.